GGCUGUCACUCUCACUCUCAGUCCUUGUCACUAAUGAAGUUGUGCUGAGAGAAUCAGAGGAAGAGUUGUUUGCUUUCAAACCAAAAGCAUCCAGCUUCCUACCCAAAACACUCAUUUCUCUUGGCAGGGGACGAGCACAGGUCACACCGAAUGUUUGAUUUGGACUUAGACCCGUACCAAGCAAGAAUGACAGAGGAAAUGGAAGUCCUCCAUCCUUUUCCUUGUCCCUGUUGUUUAAUGCUGAGAGUGGUGAACCAUACGGUGUCCUCUACAGUCUUCAGACCAAGAACCUGUGGACAAAUUACUAAAUUCAUUAAGCCAAGCAGAUGUGAAUGCAAUGGAUGCCUGGCCCCCAUGUCCCACAACAUAUUAAUAAGGGGAUUAUGGCAAGUGAUGAUGUUAUGCGAAUCCUUGAAGUUCAUCUUUGCCUGGUUUUAAAUAGUGAAUUCAACCUUUACUCAUCUGCAACCAUCCAGCAUGGCUGUUUUACUGUCCCUCCCUGCUCACUCUCCCACCAGCUUUGCUUUUUGUCCCUGAAGCCUAAAUCCUGAUAUGACACAGAGAUUAAAAAUCUCCAGGCUGAUCUCCAUCGGAAGAAAAGUCUACUGGUCUUCACAGGCUUCCAUAAAUCACUAGAUGACCUUCUUUCUUCCAGAAAGGAAAUCGAAGGAGGAGCAUGACAAAUACAUAUUUUUGACUGGUUAAUAUUGAAUUUUAACUACUAGGUGAAUGUAUUGGAAAGACAAGACAGACGUCUUUAGAGGGAUAUUUUUUUCCCAGUGGAAAAUGAUGGUUUGACAAAACUGAGAU
Molecule: non-coding RNA, 810 nt
Organism: Phalacrocorax carbo (great cormorant)
Lineage: Eukaryota; Metazoa; Chordata; Aves; Suliformes; Phalacrocoracidae
Source: RefSeq, a predicted model, not a curated record